CCUCCGAACUGCUGAGAAAUAUUGCAAAAAUGACUUCAGCUGCCAAAAAUAAUGUCGUUUACAAGCAGCUCUUCCUAUGUCUAAGGAAGAACUAGUCACACAUGCGAGUUUUUGCUGGCUUGAGAACAAGCAAGGAAAAAGACAAAUCCCACCUACCCUAGCCUAAAAUACACAGUGAGUCUCAGAACCCCGCGGAAGCUGUGGCUCAUUUCUAAAGGUGCUGGCAAUAUCGAGGAAGACUUGUAUCCACAAAAUUCCAAAUGAUUAAAUAAUCAAGUCAUUAUUGUGAAUUUGGAUCUAAAUGACCUGGCAGAAACCAUGGAGAUGAUCUUGGAUUUAAAGAGGAAAAACUCAAAGCAAUGUAUUCUGAUCAAGAAAUGGCAGGAAAUGGCAGCUACCUGAUAUGGAACAAUCAACAACUGAAGGUUUAUUUUGAAUGAGAGGUGUUGUCCAACUGCGAGACGGAGUGAUUGAAGCUGAGAAUAAAUGGAAACACAAUCAAUAGUCACUCCAGUGAGGUAGGAAAGAAAGCCAUUCCGAAGUGGCAGAGAAGCUGCUUUUUCCUCCUGCAUGCUGCCUGCUAGUGUGGAUCUUGGCAUAACAGACACUACUUGGCAAAAGAUCCAUCCUUCCUUUUCCUAUACUUUGCUCAGCGGCCUGGAAGAUUGACCUCAAAAGCAAAAUCACCUGGAUUUCCUUGCCAUUUGGCUUUCAAAUGUGCUCAGCCAAUGACAGGCUGGAAAGAAAUUGACAGCUGGGAAAAGAGGAAGAUUUGUGUACAAGAUCCCUUCCACUCCCAUCUCAUUACCUGCCAUGGUCCUAGCAGUGGCUGUUCUUAUUAUGGCCACAACUACUCUUGGACAGGCCAACAUCCACAACUCCAUCCUUCAACUAGGCUUCAUUAACACUGUCCCUCACCCUUAUCUCUUUCUGGGUAGGGGUGAUAAAGGUUUCCUGACAUCAGAGUUCCUGAGUGCCUCAUAUAUUCUUGUUGGUCCCUGAACCUUGCCCCAACAUCAAUAAAAAGUUCCUUCAUUAAAUAAUUUUCAGUUGAAUCUUUCGUGCUGGGAUCUGUCCAAUUCGACUUUAGCAUACUUUUCGUGCCAAGAAAGUGAUAGUUUCUUGCCAGGAUUUGGCUCAAAGGGCUCACAGUGGGUGAGGGGAUGAGAUUACUUAUUAAGUGAUAAAAUGGAGAUCACAGUGGUUAACCUGCCUAAGAUCACAUGGUUGGUCAACUCAUGGUCGAUUCAUUAAAAUAUUAAAACAUAGAAUCAGUCAGGCAGUGGAUGUAAUAGAUAAAUAAAACACACAUGUACCCUUAAUAAUUUAUAUUCUAGGCAGGCGUGGUGGCUCACGCCUGUAAUCCCAGCACUUUGUGAGGCCAAGGUGGGUGGAUCACCUGAGGUCGGGAGUUCAAGACCAGCCUCACAAACAUGGAGAAACCCCAUCUCUACUAAAAAUACAAAAUUAGCUGGGCUUGGUGGUGCAUGCCUGUAAUCCCAGCUACUCAGGAGGCUGAGGCAGGUGAAUUGCUUGAACCCAGUAGGUGGAGGUUGCAGUGAGCCGAGAUUGCACCAUCGCACCCAGCCUGGGCAACAAGACUGAAACUCCAUCUCAAAAAAAAAAAGUCUAUAUACAUACACACACACAC
This 1651-nucleotide long non-coding RNA is filed under the name Homo sapiens (human). RNAcentral's name for it is "HSALNT0301923". Lineage: Eukaryota; Metazoa; Chordata; Mammalia; Primates; Hominidae. The record is from RNAcentral.